GUUCCCGCUUCCUUUUCUUCCUUGUUUUUCCCAUACGUCAUUAAACUUCUUUCUUCAGUGAUUCUCUACAGAGAAAACAUGGCGACCCCUUUCCCCUCUACGGGAACACUCACUCUCUCUCCCCCUUCUACUUAUCCCACAUCUUCCCCCACCAAUCAAUUCCUCGUCGAAUUCCCUCUCCGUUCCAAUUUCUCCACCCUCACCUACCGCUCAACCCACCUCCGUCCCAUCUACGCCGUUUCCGCUUCCGAGAAAAUUGAAAAGUUGGGUGCCGAAAUCUCCUCCUUGACUCUUGAG
Molecule: unclassified non-coding RNA, 297 nt
Filed under: Hevea brasiliensis (rubber tree)
Lineage: Eukaryota; Viridiplantae; Streptophyta; Magnoliopsida; Malpighiales; Euphorbiaceae
Source: RNAcentral